RNAcentral lists this ribosomal RNA (253 nucleotides) under uncultured bacterium. Its description in RNAcentral is "partial 16S ribosomal RNA". It matches the Rfam family "Bacterial small subunit ribosomal RNA", at positions 524 to 776 of the family's 1533-position model. The record is from RNAcentral.
UACGGAGGGAGCAAGCGUUACUCGGAAUUACUGGGCGUAAAGCGCGCGUAGGUGGUUCGUUAAGUUGGAUGUGAAAUCCCCGGGCUCAACCUGGGAACUGCAUUCAAAACUGUCGAGCUAGAGUAUGGUAGAGGGUGGUGGAAUUCCCGGUGUAGCGGUGAAAUGCGUAGAGAUGUGGAGGAACACCGAUGGCGAAGGCAGCCCCCUGGGUCAACACUGACGCUCAUGCACGAAAGCGUGGGGAGCAAACAGG